This 479-nucleotide long non-coding RNA is filed under the name Zea mays. Its description in RNAcentral is "long non-coding RNA (ZMAY_LNC001233)". Lineage: Eukaryota; Viridiplantae; Streptophyta; Magnoliopsida; Poales; Poaceae. The record is from RNAcentral.
ACUAGGAAAGGUGCAGCAGAAACUCCAGCUGUGUCAUACCUCAGGAAUCUGAAGAUUUGCCGUACUCAAGCCAUGCUGCUCCAAUACCCUUGGUAUGAGAUGUUUCAUGGCUAUUUUUAACUUCUCUUCAGGUGUGUAGCCUGGCAGCUCAAUGACUUCCAUCCUAUCUAACAGAGGAGGGGGUAUAGGUUGCAUCUUAUUGGCAGUUGCAACAAAUAUGACUUUCGACAGGUCGAACGGCACAUUCAAAUAGCUGGUGAUCAUGUUAAGGAACUCUCUCUCUUAUAUGUAUGUAUCAAUGCAUUCCCAACCCUUAGUAGGGUUAGAGUUUCUUUCUAUCCAACAACAAUAAAUGAAAGGAUACUGAUCGUUGAAUGCUUUGUUCUGCUCAGGAUCAAGAACUUCCAGUAGUGCUGAUGCUGGAUCACCACGUACAUCAGAACCAGUCUUGUCAAUUUCAUCUAGAAGCAUCACUGGAU